UUCUUUUUGUUUAACAUAUUUCCCUUUUUGAAACCCUAACGCUUUGGCUCCUCGACACUCUUCGGCUGAGGGGAUCAAUCUCGAGCUUCAAUGGAACUACCUCAAUGUCACUGAAGGUGUUUCUCCUCUGUGAUAUUAAACAUCACAUGUCAAUUGGUUUACUCAUCCACCAAGAAUCAUGAUUUUGAGCUGAUUCUUUGAUUAAUGGGGUCUUCUCUUCUGAUGGAGGCAGCAGGCUUGCUAGCAGCGCCCAUUUUAAUAGUUUCUCUCUCUCUCUCUCUCUCUCUCUCCCUUUAGUAAUAAAAGUUAUCUUAUGUUUGGUAUGGUAGGACAAAAAUUCACUUAUCUUCAUAUGUUUUCAGGAAGUUGGUAAAGUUUUAAAGUAAGACUUUAAUGAAUCUCCUUAAUGAUUUUCUAAUCUAGGUUCAGGUUGAAAGAAAAUUAUCGAUGAGAAAAAAAGUGAUUAGUUUAUUUCAAUUGUUGUUGGUUGGUCUCAAAUUUGUCCUUUUUUUGGGUGUAGGAUUUAUUUUGUUUUUCAAAUAUUUUGAAGUUUCAGCUGACUUCUUUUGCAUGAUUGAUAAAAGUUUGUGUUUUUUAUUUGAUUUUCAUCUGGGUCAAUCUUCAUAAUUGAUGGGUUUAAAUGAAUUUUCUAGAGAAAACUUUCUGAUUUAUUUGUGAAUUGGCUUCUCGAAAAUUAUGCUCUUGCUAGAUCCAUUACCUAUUAGCGUGAUUUUGCCAUUUGUGGGCCUUCGUUCGGUUUGCAGUAUCAUAUAUUUUGAAGUG
Molecule: non-coding RNA, 783 nt
Organism: Arachis ipaensis
Lineage: Eukaryota; Viridiplantae; Streptophyta; Magnoliopsida; Fabales; Fabaceae
Source: RefSeq, a predicted model, not a curated record